GCCUGGGUGGCUCAGUCGGUUAAGCGUCCGACUUCGGCUCAGGUCAUGAUCUCGCGGUCCGUGGGUUCGAGCCCCGCAUCAGGCU
RNAcentral lists this transfer RNA (85 nucleotides) under Felis catus (domestic cat). It matches the Rfam family "tRNA". From Rfam's summary of the family: Transfer RNA (tRNA) molecules are approximately 80 nucleotides in length. Their secondary structure includes four short double-helical elements and three loops (D, anti-codon, and T loops). The record is from Rfam by way of RNAcentral. RNAcentral also lists the same sequence under 2 other names. Lineage: Eukaryota; Metazoa; Chordata; Mammalia; Carnivora; Felidae.